This 505-nucleotide ribosomal RNA is filed under the name uncultured bacterium. RNAcentral's name for it is "partial 16S ribosomal RNA". It matches the Rfam family "Bacterial small subunit ribosomal RNA", at positions 28 to 507 of the family's 1533-position model. The record is from RNAcentral.
GACGAACGCUGGCGGCGUGCCUAAUACAUGCAAGUGGAACGCACAGUUUAUACCGUAGCUUGCUACACCAUAGGCUGUGAGUUGCGAACGGGUGAGUAACGCGUAGGUAACCUGCCUGGUAGCGGGGGAUAACUAUUGGAAACGAUAGCUAAUACCGCAUAAUAUUGAUUAUUGCAUGAUAAUUGAUUGAAAGAUGCUAUUGCAUCACUACCAGAUGGACCUGCGUUGUAUUAGCUAGUAGGUGAGGUAACGGCUCACCUAGGCGACGAUACAUAGCCGACCUGAGAGGGUGAUCGGCCACACUGGGACUGAGACACGGCCCAGACUCCUACGGGAGGCAGCAGUAGGGAAUCUUCGGCAAUGGACGAAAGUCUGACCGAGCAACGCCGCGUGAGUGAAGAAGGUUUUCGGAUCGUAAAGCUCUGUUGUAAGAGAAGAACGGGUGUGAGAGUGGAAAGUUCACACUGUGACGGUAGCUUACCAGAAAGGGACGGCUAACUACGUG